This is a long non-coding RNA of Equus caballus (horse), 2022 nucleotides long. NCBI's taxonomy places the organism in Eukaryota, Metazoa, Chordata, Mammalia, Perissodactyla, Equidae. The record is from Ensembl.
AUGAACUAAUCAUGUAUAACUCAUGGAGACAGUUUUCUAAAGUUCUCAAUGUAAUUAAAUGUAAAGGGAAACAGUAGAAUCUUUAUUCCCUCAAGAAUUGUCAACAUGUGUCUAGCAACAGGACAAAAUAAAGACAUGCCAACAGCGACAUAACAUAACAGCAACAACAUUUUUAAAACCAUAUCAUUUCCCCAAAUAGACAUUUACACAUAUGUGAAUAUGUCAGUUUUGAUCAUUGCAGAAUGCUAAGGAGAACUGACACAUGUAGGGAGGCAGGAGUGGAAGAAUAUUCAGUGCUUCAUAAAAAGCAAUUGUACACGUUCGCAAAUUUCCAUUAACCUAGAUCACCAGAGAGAGAUGUCAAGAGAAACAUUACCAAGCUGGAAACCACAGAGAACUCUUAUCUAUUAGUAACAAAUUAAUUACAUUUGCUCAAUUAAAUGAAGUAUGAUUACAGGUAAGCCUAAAAUAAGAAUUUUCAAGUCACAUUAUGGAAAAUUUUUAUAGGUGAAAAAUGUAAAAUGGUUAGAUGUCAUCGUUUGACAGGAAUUAUUUAACACCCUGUACUCUUCUAGAAUAAGGCAUUUUUUCUACUUCAAAUGUUGUAUAAUCUAGGUCAUAGAGUAUGGUCCUAAAUCUGAAUUCCAGAGAAUCAAAAAAGGGAAAGCUCAUACUUAAAUGUUGUUAAGAGAGAUUUCCUAACAGAGGAUUUGGACUUACCUUGUGCCACGAAAGAUAUAUAGGAUUUAAAUUAAUGCAAAAGAAGAUAGGCAGUAGAAAUGCCAGGAAAAGUACUUGGGAAUUAACAAGUUGACCACAUCCAUUUUCCUAUCCUUUCAUUAUCCAUGAGACAUCCAUUUACUACCUUUGGUACGCUGCAUGUCCGUAAGUGAUGUUAUGGUUGAUUCAGCUGCUGAACGCAGCCAUCAAGGAUCCAGGUUCACAGCUUUCUGCUCCACCAUCCACGGGGUAUGCUUACUUCAAUAUCUUUUUAGUUUAAAAAUAGGAAAAUCAGCAGGAUUUUCUCUCAUUUGUGGUGAAUCUUACAUUUUUCAUAUUUUUUAGUGUUUACAUUUUUAUAUAAUUUUUCAUUGUUGCCCACCUUUUCUUUGAAACUCUUCCUUUGUUUUUCAUGACGUUAGAACAUACAGAAGAAUCACCUGUGUGAGCUUAGCAAUGCAGAUUCCUGGGGCCACACUGGCAGAGCUUCUGGUCGAGUCUGUGUGGAGUGGAGCCAGCAGAUCCACAUUUUUGACAGUCCCUUUAGGUGGUUCUGAUGCACCUCACUGGCUCUCGUUCCCCCCCUGUCAUAAUAUUCUUUUGUUGGUUUCUUCACUAGUUCUUCUUUCUCUUUCCUUGGCUAUUUACAAUACAAAGUAUUUACACUUGAGCAUUUCUUUUUAUCUUAACUUCUAGAAAGUUCACCCAUUUUUACGCCUUCAGUCUCUUGAGGAUAAGGAUGAUCUUAUUCAUUUUUCAUCAACCAUUUGUUGAUCCUAACAAAUGGCCUCUCGGCUUACUAAGGUAGGAAAACGAAGAAGAUGCCUAUUUAGAAGACAUUAACAUCAAAGUGAUAGUUCAUCUAUUCAUUUAUACGUAGAAACUUUUAUUAAACACUUAUACAUGCCAGGCCUAAAAGGGCUUGGCCCAUAAUAGGCGCUUAAAGUAAAAUUACUUUGAAAUGAAUGAAUGAAUAAAUGAACUAUCUCCUCUCUGAUGAUGAAUUCUAAAUUUAUAUCCCCUGCCUUUUUCUUUUAUUCUGGUGACCUGAGGGAACUUUUUUCAGGGUCAUUUUUUUCCUUCCAUAUAGAAAUAUUGAAAAGAAGCCAAUUUACCAGCCAUCCAAAACCAAAUAACUGAGAGCCAAUUUUUUGAGGGAGAGGUCAAGGGAAAAAGCUGAAAAUGCUGGGGAGUGGGCGCAGAGUUGGGAGAAGGGAGGAUCUGAAACAAACGGAAGGGAUUCGCCUUCGAAAGAAAAAGGACUAUCUCUUUUUCUGAUGUAGAGGCAAAAGGCAAAAAAAA